GCACACAGCAGAAGGCUGGCUGGUGCCCUGCCAGAAUCCAGGACUGCAAACACAGAGGCACAGAGUCCAUAAUGAAGGUCAUCAGGAGGUUUUAGGAUUUAUUUGGCAUUCUUGUGCCAGGUACUGAAAUACAAUAGCACAUGUGGAAGGAGCGUGGUUGGGGUCCUGACCAGGGCAAGGCUCAGUGGCCACUGAUGCUCGAGCUUGCCUCACAGCUUAAUGUCGUGAUUAGGAUUGGCCUCAGGACCAGUUUGGAGAUGCUAGAGCUGGGCAGUCAUGCUCCCAUUUCACAGGAGAUGGGGGCAGGGUUGACACGUCUGUGCUUUCUCAAGGUCACGUUGUGGAUGCUGUAAAAUCAGGUUCUGGGUGAGACCAUCUUUGGCCCUGGAAAGACUGAGACCUGCCCAUGGACAGGGCCCCACGUGGCCACUGGGGACUGUUGGUUCCUACCCCACCGUCCCUCUGCUGGGUUCCCCACCCCGAAGACGUGGGCUCGGCCCCUCAGCAUCACGCCCAGAGUUCUGGAGGCCGGAGGCUGGAAGCUCAAGAUCCAGGACACACUCUGAUGGUGCCGUCCAGCUGCAUCCUCACAUGACAGAAGGGGUGAGGGAGCCUGCUGGUGUCCCUUUUCCAAGACCACUCAUCCUCAUCCCACUCCCAAGGGCUCCACCCUCAGGACUGAGUCACCUUCCAAAGGCCCCGCUUCCUACACCAGCACCUGAGGGGCCAUGGCUGCCCCUGUGAAUUUUGGGAGGGCCACAGACAUUCAGAUCACAGCAGGUACGAGCUAUCCACAUGACUGAUGGCUGAUGGAUGUUGACCUUGGUCCUCGGCCUGAGGGCAUGUUUGUUGUGUUGUUUCUGCCUGUAAGCCCCAACCCCAUUCCCAUUCUAUAUUCCUUGGAAUGAAAUCAUUAUGUACACCCCACACUUGAGGAAAUGGGUUAUGCUCUAUUUCCUUGAGGCAGCGUAUCUAUGCAAAUUAUCUAGAAUUUGGGGGCAUGGGAGCUUUGCCUAUUGUUCCUCAUUGAUUCCACAGUUUAUUUGUAUGGAUGUGGACUCGCGCAUAUUGAUUUUGUACUUUGGGUUGUAAUCCACUGUGACAUUAUUUAUUACACUUUGCUCAAACGGUUCCACUUUGGCCACAGAGAGCUUUCCCUUGGCCUCUGUGUCCCUGCGACACACCCUGUCUUCGGGUUUUGUUGGAGCACUUGCUUACUUUCUGGCACAAUGAGAUGCUCCAGCCUCAUCUUGUCUAUUUCCUGCCCCAGCUCUAGUGGGAGCAUUUCUCCCCAGGAGCCAUUUCUUCCAGGAGCCCCGGAUCUUUUAAGUGGAGAAUGGCAGAAACCAAAAUCAAGGCACUAGGUGUGCUCACUGCUACUGUGGUGUCAUUGCUUCUAGGCCCUCUCAGCUGACAGAGCAAGGAAAUAGCCGUGUAUCAAAGAAGUCAUGUAUAUAUACAUGUAAACAUCUCUAUGUGUAUCCAUCUCUAUUUGUAUUAAACUAGACAUGAGUUCAUACUGAUGUCUCCUCCACUAACCCACAUGAAUCUUCUAGCCUCUUCCUCUUGCUUCUCUGUGAACUCCCUCUCUAGCACUGAGAAAAAGUGCUACCCACUUUUUCUGGGUGCUACUUUGGGUGCUACCCACCACCCACCCUCCACUCACUUAGCUGUGCAAUGCCAGAAUACACAAAUAGGGGCUUCAUAUUGGUUAAGCCACACCCCUGUGAGAGGCAACUUUUCAACUGGAGAACAGUGCUCACGUGCAGUUCCUUUUCACUGACUUCUUUCACUUAGCAAUACGCGUGUAGGAUUUACGCAUGCCUUGGCAUGGCUUGAUAACUAUUCCUUUUAUUGCUGAAUCGUAUUCCAUUGCAUGGAAGUAUUCGUUUCUUUAUCCACUCACUUAUUAAAGGACAUCUUGGUUGCUUCCUGUUUUGGGUGAGCAUAAAUAAAGCUGCUACCAAC
Macaca mulatta (Rhesus monkey) is the source of this 1968-nucleotide long non-coding RNA. NCBI's taxonomy places the organism in Eukaryota, Metazoa, Chordata, Mammalia, Primates, Cercopithecidae. The record is from Ensembl.